RNAcentral lists this ribosomal RNA (1981 nucleotides) under Escherichia coli. RNAcentral describes it as "partial 23S ribosomal RNA". It matches the Rfam family "Bacterial large subunit ribosomal RNA", at positions 1 to 2006 of the family's 2925-position model. The record is from RNAcentral. Lineage: Bacteria; Pseudomonadati; Pseudomonadota; Gammaproteobacteria; Enterobacterales; Enterobacteriaceae.
GGUUAAGUUAAUAAGGGCGCACGGUGGAUGCCUUGGCACUAGAAGCCGAUGAAGGACGUGACUAACGACGAAAUGCUUUGGGGAGUUGUAAGUAAACAUUGAUCCAGAGAUGUCCGAAUGGGGGAACCCGGCAUGUGAAGCAUGUCACUCAUUACUGUUAAGGUAAUGAAGAGGAAGACGCAGUGAACUGAAACAUCUAAGUAGCUGCAGGAAGAGAAAGCAAACGCGAUUGCCUUAGUAGCGGCGAGCGAAACGGCAAGAGGGCAAACCGAUGUGUUUACACAUCGGGGUUGUAGGACUGCGUUGUGGGACGCAAGAUUAUAGAAGAAUUACCUGGGAAGGUAAGCCAAAGAGAGUAAUAGCCUCGUAAUCGAAAUAAUCUUAAACCCUAGCAGUAUCCUGAGUACGGCGAGACACGAGAAAUCUCGUCGGAAUCCGGGAGGACCAUCUCCCAACCCUAAAUACUCUCUAGUGACCGAUAGUGAACCAGUACCGUGAGGGAAAGGUGAAAAGCACCCCGGGAGGGGAGUGAAAUAGAACCUGAAACCGUGUGCCUACAACAAGUUCGAGCCCGUUAAUGGGUGAGAGCGUGCCUUUUGUAGAAUGAACCGGCGAGUUACGAUAUGAUGCGAGGUUAAGUUGAAGAGACGGAGCCGUAGGGAAACCGAGUCUUAAUAGGGCGCUUUAGUAUCAUGUCGUAGACCCGAAACCAUGUGACCUACCCAUGAGCAGGGUGAAGGUGAGGUAAAACUCACUGGAGGCCCGAACCAGGGCACGUUGAAAAGUGCUUGGAUGACUUGUGGGUAGCGGAGAAAUUCCAAACGAACUUGGAGAUAGCUGGUUCUCUCCGAAAUAGCUUUAGGGCUAGCGUCGAUGUUAAGUCUCUUGGAGGUAGAGCACUGUUUGAUUGAGGGGUCCAUCCCGGAUUACCAAUAUCAGAUAAACUCCGAAUGCCAAUGAGAUAUAAUCGGCAGUCAGACUGCGAGUGCUAAGAUCCGUAGUCGAAAGGGAAACAGCCCAGACCACCAGCUAAGGUCCCAAAAUAUAUGUUAAGUGGAAAAGGAUGUGGGGUUGCACAGACAACUAGGAUGUUAGCUUAGAAGCAGCUAUUCAUUCAAAGAGUGCGUAAUAGCUCACUAGUCGAGUGACCCUGCGCCGAAAAUGUACCGGGGCUAAAACAUAUUACCGAAGCUGUGGAUACCUAUUAUAGGUAUGGUAGGAGAGCGUUCUAUGUGUGAAGAAGGUGUACCGUGAGGAGCGCUGGAACGCAUAGAAGUGAGAAUGCCGGUAUGAGUAGCGAAAGACAGGUGAGAAUCCUGUCCACCGUAAGACUAAGGUUUCCAGGGGAAGGCUCGUCCGCCCUGGGUUAGUCGGGACCUAAGGAGAGACCGAAAGGUGUAUCCGAUGGCCAACAGGUUGAUAUUCCUGUACUAGAGUAUAUAGUGAAGGAGGGACGCAGUAGGCUAACUAAAGCGUGCGAUUGGAAGAGCACGUCUAAGCAGUGAGGUGUGAUAUGAGUCAAAUGCUUGUAUCUCUAACAUUGAGCUGUGAUGGGGAGCGAAGUUAAGUAGCGAAGUUAGUGAUGUCACACUGCCAAGAAAAGCUUCUAGCGUUAAUUAUACUCUACCCGUACCGCAAACCGACACAGGUAGUCGAGGCGAGUAGCCUCAGGUGAGCGAGAGAACUCUCGUUAAGGAACUCGGCAAAAUGGCCCCGUAACUUCGGGAGAAGGGGCGCUGGCUUUAAGUCAGCCGCAGUGAAUAGGCCCAAGCAACUGUUUAUCAAAAACACAGCUCUCUGCUAAAUCGUAAGAUGAUGUAUAGGGGGUGACGCCUGCCCGGUGCUGGAAGGUUAAGAGGAGCGCUUAGCGUAAGCGAAGGUGUGAAUUGAAGCCCCAGUAAACGGCGGCCGUAACUAUAACGGUCCUAAGGUAGCGAAAUUCCUUGUCGGGUAAGUUCCGACCCGCACGAAAGGCGUAAUG